This 253-nucleotide ribosomal RNA is filed under the name uncultured bacterium. RNAcentral's name for it is "partial 16S ribosomal RNA". It matches the Rfam family "Bacterial small subunit ribosomal RNA", at positions 524 to 776 of the family's 1533-position model. The record is from RNAcentral.
UACGAAGGGGGCUAGCGUUGCUCGGAAUCACUGGGCGUAAAGGGUGCGUAGGCGGGUCUUUAAGUCAGGGGUGAAAUCCUGGAGCUCAACUCCAGAACUGCCUUUGAUACUGAGGAUCUUGAGUUCGGGAGAGGUGAGUGGAACUGCGAGUGUAGAGGUGAAAUUCGUAGAUAUUCGCAAGAACACCAGUGGCGAAGGCGGCUCACUGGCCCGGUACUGACGCUGAGGUGCGAAAGCGUGGGGAGCAAACAGG